RNAcentral lists this ribosomal RNA (468 nucleotides) under uncultured bacterium. RNAcentral's name for it is "partial 16S ribosomal RNA". It matches the Rfam family "Bacterial small subunit ribosomal RNA", at positions 28 to 507 of the family's 1533-position model. The record is from RNAcentral.
GACGAACGCUGGCGGCGUGCUUAACACAUGCAAGUCGAACGGAAAGGCCCUGCUUUUGUGGGGUGCUCGAUUGGCGAACGGGUGAGUAACACGUGAGUAACCUGCCCUUGUCUUUGGGAUAACUUCAGGAAACUGGGGCUAAUACCGGAUAGGAGCUCCUGCUGCAUGGUGGGGGUUGGAAAGUUUCGGCGGUUGGGGAUGGACUCGCGGCUUAUCAGCUUGUUGGUGGGGUAGUGGCUUACCAAGGCUUUGACGGGUAGCCGGCCUGAGAGGGUGACCGGCCACAUUGGGACUGAGAUACGGCCCAGACUCCUACGGGAGGCAGCAGUCGGGAAUAUUGCACAAUGGGCGGAAGCCUGAUGCAGCAACGCCGCGUGCGGGAUGACGGCCUUCGGGUUGUAAACCGCUUUCGCCUGUGACGAAGCGUGAGUGACGGUAAUGGGUAAAGAAGCACCGGCUAACUACGUG